This 168-nucleotide unclassified non-coding RNA is filed under the name soil metagenome. RNAcentral describes it as "partial internal transcribed spacer 1". The record is from RNAcentral.
CGAAAGCGUUUUUAACAGCGCAAAACCCACUGUGAACAUACCUGUUUGUUGCUUCGGCAGGCGGUCCCAGGGCGGGGCCAGCAGCCUGUAUUUUUUUCAGGCGCCUGCCGGAGGCCACUUCAAACUCUUUUGUAUACGUACUGUCUGAGCCUAAAACAAAAUACGUUA